RNAcentral lists this ribosomal RNA (1109 nucleotides) under Staphylococcus aureus H81901. RNAcentral's name for it is "bacterial SSU rRNA". It matches the Rfam family "Bacterial small subunit ribosomal RNA", at positions 8 to 1096 of the family's 1533-position model. Lineage: Bacteria; Bacillati; Bacillota; Bacilli; Caryophanales; Staphylococcaceae. The record is from RNAcentral.
AGAGUUUGAUCCUGGCUCAGGAUGAACGCUGGCGGUGUGCCUAAUACAUGCAAGUCGAGCGAACGGACGAGAAGCUUGCUUCUCUGAUGUUAGCGGCGGACGGGUGAGUAACACGUGGAUAACCUACCUAUAAGACUGGGAUAACUUCGGGAAACCGGAGCUAAUACCGGAUAAUAUUUUGAACCGCAUGGUUCAAAAGUGAAAGACGGUCUUGCUGUCACUUAUAGAUGGAUCCGCGCUGCAUUAGCUAGUUGGUAAGGUAACGGCUUACCAAGGCAACGAUGCAUAGCCGACCUGAGAGGGUGAUCGGCCACACUGGAACUGAGACACGGUCCAGACUCCUACGGGAGGCAGCAGUAGGGAAUCUUCCGCAAUGGGCGAAAGCCUGACGGAGCAACGCCGCGUGAGUGAUGAAGGUCUUCGGAUCGUAAAACUCUGUUAUUAGGGAAGAACAUAUGUGUAAGUAACUGUGCACAUCUUGACGGUACCUAAUCAGAAAGCCACGGCUAACUACGUGCCAGCAGCCGCGGUAAUACGUAGGUGGCAAGCGUUAUCCGGAAUUAUUGGGCGUAAAGCGCGCGUAGGCGGUUUUUUAAGUCUGAUGUGAAAGCCCACGGCUCAACCGUGGAGGGUCAUUGGAAACUGGAAAACUUGAGUGCAGAAGAGGAAAGUGGAAUUCCAUGUGUAGCGGUGAAAUGCGCAGAGAUAUGGAGGAACACCAGUGGCGAAGGCGACUUUCUGGUCUGUAACUGACGCUGAUGUGCGAAAGCGUGGGGAUCAAACAGGAUUAGAUACCCUGGUAGUCCACGCCGUAAACGAUGAGUGCUAAGUGUUAGGGGGUUUCCGCCCCUUAGUGCUGCAGCUAACGCAUUAAGCACUCCGCCUGGGGAGUACGACCGCAAGGUUGAAACUCAAAGGAAUUGACGGGGACCCGCACAAGCGGUGGAGCAUGUGGUUUAAUUCGAAGCAACGCGAAGAACCUUACCAAAUCUUGACAUCCUUUGACAACUCUAGAGAUAGAGCUUUCCCCUUCGGGGGACAAAGUGACAGGUGGUGCAUGGUUGUCGUCAGCUCGUGUCGUGAGAUGUUGGGUUAAGUCCCGCAACGAG